CUCUCUCUUUGCCUACUGCCAUCCAGGAAGACGUGACUUGCUUCUUCUUGCCUUCCACUAUGAUUGUGGGAAGGCCUCCCCAGUCAUGUGGAACUGUAAGUCCAUUAAACCUCUUUUUCUUCCCAGUCUCAGGUAUGUCUUUAUCAGCAGCAUGAAAAUGGACUAAUACAGUAAAUUGGUACCAGUAGAGGGGGGUGCUGCUGGAAAGAUACCUGAAAAUGUGGAAGCAACUUUGGAACUGGGUAACAGGCAGAGAUUGGAACAGUUUGGAGGGUUCAGAAGAAGACAGGAAUAUGUGGAAAAGUUUGGAACUUCCUAGAGGCUUGUUGAAUGGCUUUGCUCAAAAUGCUGAUAGUGAUAUGGACAAUAAAGUCCAGACUGAGGUGGUUUCAGAUGGAAAUGAGGAACUUGUUGGAAACUGGAGCAAAGGUGACUCUCAUUAUGUUUUAGCAAAGAGACUGGUGGCAUUUUGCCCCUGCUCUAGAGACUUGUGGAACUUUGAACUUGAGAGAGAUGAUUUAGGGAAUCUGGUGGAAGAAAUUUCUAAGCAGUAAAGCAUUCAAAAGGUGACUUGGGUGCUGUUAAAGGCAUUCAGGUUUAUAAGGGAAGCAGAGCAUAAAAGUUUGGAAAAUUUGCAGCCUGACAAUGUGAUAGAAAACAAAAUCCCAUUUUUCUGAGAAGAAAUUCAAGCUGGUUGCAGAAAUUUGCAUAAGUAAUGAGAAGUCGAAUGUUAAUCCUCAAGACAAUGGGGAAAAUGUCCUCAGGGCAUGUCAGAGUUCUUCACAGCAGCCCCUCCCAUCACAGGCCCAGAGGCCUAGGAGGAAAAAGUGGUUUUGUUGGCUGGGUCCAGGGUCCCCAUGCUGUGUGCAGCCUAGGGACUUGGUGCCCUGCAUCCCAGCUGCUUCAGCCAUGGCUGAAAGGGGCGAAUGUAGAACGUGGGUUGUGGCUUCAGAGGGUGCAAGCCUUGGCAGCUUCCACAUGGUAUUAAGCCUGCCAGUCCACAGAAGUCAGGAAUUAGAGUUUGGAAACCUCUGCCUAGAUUUCAAAGGAUGUAUGGAAAUGCCUGGAUGUCCAGGCAAAAGUUUGCAGCAGGGGCAGGGAUCUCAUGGAGACCCUCUGCUAGAGCAGUGCAGAAGGGAAAUCUGGGGUCAGAGCUCCCACACAGAGUCCCUGCUGGCGCACUGCCUAGUGGAGUGGGCACUGUGAGCAGAGGGCCACUAUCUUCCAGACCCCAGAAUGGUAGAUCCACUGACAGCUUGCACCAUGUGACUGGAAAAGCCACAGACUAUCAACGCCAGCCUGUGAAAGCAGCUGGGAGAGAGGCUGUACCCUGCAAAACCACAGGGGCGGAGCUACCCAAGACCAUGGGAACCCAUCUCUUGCAUCAGUGUGACCUGGAAAUGAGACACAGACUCAAAGGAGAUCAUUUUGGAGAAUUAAGAUUUGAGUGACCAGCUGGAUUUCAGGUUUGCAUGGGGCCUGUAGCCCCUUUGUUUGGGCCAAUUUCUCCCAGUUGGAAUAUCUGUAUUUAACCAAUACCUGUACCCUCAUUGUAUCUAGGAAGUAACUAAGUUGCUUUUGGUUCUACAGGCUCAUAGGUGGAAGGGACUUGCCUUGUCUUGAGUGAGACAUUGGACUGUCGACUCUUAAGUUAAUGCUGACAUGAGUUAAGACUUUGGGAGACUGUUGGGAAGGCAUGAUUGGUUUUGAAAUGUGAGGACAUGAGAUUUGGAGGGGACAGGGGUGGAAUUAUAUGGUUUGGCUGUGUCCUCACCCAAAUCUCAUCUUGAAUUCCCACAUGUUGUGGGAGUGACCCAGUGGGAGGUAAUUGAAUCAUGGGACUGGGUCUUUCCCGUGCUGUUCUUGUGAUAGUGAAUAAGUCUCAUGAGAUCUGACAGUUUUAAAAAUGGGAGUUUCCCCUGCACAAGCUCUCUCUUCUCUUUGCCUGCUGCCAUCCAUGUAAGAUGGGACUUGCUCUUCCUUGCCUUCCACCAUGAUUGUGAGUCCUGCCCAGCCAUGUGGAUCCAUGAAUCCAUCAAACCUCUUUUUCUUCCCAGUCUUGGGUAUGUCUUUAUCAGCAGCAUGAAAACUACUAUUAUUUACCUAUUUUUCAGACUCAAAGUCUAAAAUGUAAAGAUAUUCUUGAAAAUUUGCCAUCCAUUAUUGCAAGACUUUUAAUUUCUUUCCUGCCACUACUUAACUGUAGAAACUUGAGAAAAUUACAUGACAUUUCUAUAGGUCUCAGUCUCUCAACUGUGCCAUGAAAGAGUUGGCUUAGAUUACCUCUAGGCCUCCUUGAGAUUAAAGAUGGUUUUGCAUUAUUAAAAACAUUAUAUAAAUCAAAUGAUUUUUUUUUUUUUUGAAAUGAAGUCUCUCUCUUGUCGCCCAGUCUGGAAUGCAGUGGCACGAUCUUGGUUUAAUGCCAGCUCCAUUUCCUGGGUUCAAGCAAUUCUCCUGCCUCAGCCUCCCGAGUAGCUGGGAUUACAGGAGCCUGUGUUGUAAACUCUUUAUUUAAGUAGAAUUGCCCCCUCUAUUUUUAAAUCAAAUUGUCAUUUUUAAAAAAUCUAUGUGGUUUGCUUUAAACAUGAUAUACGUUUUCUUACAUAGAUAAAGGUAGAUUUCAGAUGUUGGGAAAAAUGUGUGUGGCAGACACUAUUAGCUGCUCUCCUUCUGUCUGUCCAUUUCCUCUCAAUCUCAUUAAUAGAAACUAAUUUAGUUCAGCAUGGCCAUGUGCCCAGCUGAAAAUUAUAGCUUCAUCAUCACACAUCAGAAAGAUGAGCAUGUGGCACAGUCCUGGCCAGUGAAAUAUAAAGUGACAGCUUCUGGGAAGUGAUUGCUUUCCUGAUUUCAAUACCACCCCUUCCUCCCUGCCCACUGUUCCUUCUUCCUCCCUGGACAAAUGGUUUAGGGGACCGGCUGCCAUCUUGUAACAAAGCAGACAAAAGCUACACGCAAAGGAUGGCAGAGCAGAAAGAAGACCUUGAUGGUAUCACUGACAGUCUGGAGAGUCUACUUCUAGAUUUUUCUGUCAUGAUUGAAUAAACUGCCAUAUUUUCUGUCACCAGUAGGGGUUUUGUUACCAAUAUGUUCAUAACUGAUUCAGCAGGUAUUGAUUUUAGUCCACAACAGUAGAGUGAGAUAAAAGCACAUUUCCCUUUUUGUUCUCAAUCAAAUUUAAUCUUCCUGACUGUCCACAUAUUUGGUUGGUGGGACAUUCAUCCUCUGUCAUUCCUGUGCUUUUCUGUCUUCUCAAGAUUUCUAGAUUUGGGGGUGGGGGAGGUUGCUUAAAAACACAAUAAUGGAGAAAAUGCCAGAUAUUUGGUUCACAGUGGCUGCACUCACUCAACAUUUAUUUAUGAAUUUUCCAGGGGCAGUAUAAAGAAUGGGAAUACACAAUGAAAAUACCUUUAGCUCCAAGUGUGUGGUCAAGGCUUGUUCCUCUGGCUUUGGUUGGGCUGCAGACAAACUCAGACACGACCCACCAGGGCCAUCAGCUCCAUCAACUACAAACCUACCCCUGGAAUUCUAGGCCCCCGGGUUCCUAACCAGAGUCCCAGGUUCAGGCACCCUGUAGUCUCCCAUCUGGGUACCACUUGGUCUCUCCUACUGGUGGAAACCUGCAAAAUCCCAUCCCUACUCUUGGUCUUAGGACUCUUAACUUUCCCUGGGGUCCAGGAGCGCCUGCUUUAUCUACUUUGAACAGUCCCUGCAACUCCUCCCUUUACGAAGGGAUCUGUCUUACUUUUCAAGAUCACAGCCAGUACUUUUAUUCUAUCUCAGUUAUACAGAUGAGAAAACUGAGGCACAGAGACCAAGGGUAAAGUCACCCAGCUAGUAAGUAGCAGAGACAGGAUUUGGGUGCAGAUGUCUUGGCUCCAGACCCAGUUGCUAACCACUGUAUUGUGCUACUCUCUUCCUGCAACACAAAAGCUCCUUACUUUCUGCUUGGGUAUGGGUAAACACAUCGCAACUUAUAAAAAUACAGUGCUGACCUUUUUCUGGGUGAGACGUGGGAAGGGGUGUUAACUCCCAGUUGGUACUUUCCUUGAUAACUCACUCUGUUUUGUAUCCAAUUAAGAAAAAUACGUUGCUUUUAAACAAUGCACUAACUUAAGCUUCCUAUGUCUCAGUUUUCUCAUAUUAAAUUGGGAAUAGACAUUUCUAUGAUGACUUUUCCUCUGUAUUUUACCUCAUCAAGAUUCAGUGAUAGGAAAAAUAGGGUAUUAACUAAGAAGGUUUUUGAAAUCUUCAGGUAAAAAAAAUGUGGUAUUUUAACAAGAAAAUUGAUACAACAGCAGAUACUACAACUGGUAAAAUGAAUUUUAACUUUGGUGUCCCUAGAUGCUCCCUAUUCAGUUCUUAGUAAAUAUAUUUCAAUCUAGAAGAAAAUUGGGACCCUGCCAACUAGUAUUAAUGCUUGCUUGCCUAUUAAUUGAAGCACACUUUUGGAAAAUGUUGUAUGUAUCUGGGGAAAUAUAAUGCAUUCAGCAUAAGAAUAAAUCUUUUUUUUGAGAGAGCUAGACCUAGAGAUUUUCCUCACUUUUCAGUCAUGCCACAAUCUUUCUGGUUUAUCAGCAACUUUUUCUCUGCUAAGCAGUGAUGGUAAUGCAUACAUUUGCCUUUUUCAGUAAAUCAUCCUUUUAUAAUUUGGCUUUCUUUCAAUCUUAGAUUCCCAUCAGAAGGGUUUUACCUCAAGGCAUAUUGCAACCAAUUUCCCCCAUAAUUAAUGCCAUAUCUGCCUCAGAGUCCAUUUCAAUUCCCAAAUGAAAAUUGAUGAGGCAGCCAACCACAAAUAAGGAUCACAUAGCACUGAUUAAACUAUCAGACUAGUUUCCAGGCUAUCAUGUUACAGUGCUGAAUCAUAAGCAGAGGGUGAGUUUUCUGGUCUUUUGCAAUGUAUAUUGCUCAUAGUAAGUGUCCAUAAAUGGCUCUUAGCAGAUGAAGAGAAGCAUUUUAUAUGGCCCCUAUCAAAUUCUACCAGAAAGACUAAUGAUUAAAGAGGUUUGUGUUACAGGAACCAAGACUUCAUAGCACAUGAAAGAAAAUUGUAUCUAGACUUGAUAAAAAUGAGCCACAAACUGCUACAAAAAUCACCAGGACAAGAAAAACUCACUUAGGUGUUUUUAUCCCAUCCACAUGGAGUGUGAAUGGUUAAGUCAGGUGCUGUGUGAAGAAUGGAAACAUGCAACAAUAAAGACACCAGUCCUGGUGGACCUGAUGGCCUAUGUCUGGUGUGGCGGGGGACAGAUAAGUAAACAGAUCGUCCUAUACGGGGUAGCCAACGCUAUCAUCUGAUAGAAGUAAGCAUGAGGUACCAGUCAAGUAUGCAAGUAUCUGUGCAUGAGAUGCUAGUCAAGUAUUUGUGUGUGCAUGUUUGAAGGCUUCCUGGAAGAGAUCACUGAAACUCUAAGAGUAGGUAGCCAGGUUAAGAAUGGGGGCAGAGCAGGAUAUCUGAGGCAGUGGAAGCAAUUUGAGCAAUGUGUGGAGUGGAGAGAGAACCUGACUUGUUUGAUAAGCUUGGAAGGUUAAGCAUAGCUAGAACAGGGUAUUGGAAGAGUUUUAUAGAGGAAAAGAUGACUAGAGGUAGGCUGCCAGAUGUUCUCUCCCAAAAUAUUUGACCAUCAGUGUAGCAGGGCAGAUAUUAGUGUGAUUAUGAAAACAUAUAUGUGUGUGUGUAUAUACAUAUGUAUGUAUAUUUAAAUGCAUUACAUAUUUCAAUCAGUGAUAUGUGUUUUUCUAGGUAUCUUUUUGGCAUAUUUUUAAGAAACACAUUUCGAAAAUUAAAUGUAGGUGUGAACCCUUCGCCACACCCAAAGAACCAUUCUUGACACUCAUGCAGAACAUUUUAUGCCCCAGUUUGAAUAUCUGACUUUGGUUUAUCUCACUGAUACCUGUAGCCCCUCCAAAGUAGUGGUAGACAGAGCUGAGACAAGAAAUUUCACAGCUUUUUCCUAUUGUGGAACAAACAAUCUGAGUUUAAAACAUAUUGACUUACUGAAUUAAAGUAAGUCACUCCACCUCUUAAAGACUCAGUCACACAUCCAAUUUUCCAGGGGCCUGUGGCCACUGAGUGUCACAGAGUGUGGAAGGCUGUAGGGGCCAGUCCAGAGGAGAGACCACAUGGCCUGAUUGCCCAGUAGAAAUUGAUAUUCACAAAAGAAUGCUGGCUCAAAAAAAUAAAUUGAAAAAAAAAAAAAAACCCCAGCAACACAGUGAACAGGUGGCUUAGUAUGGCUGGCCGUGCUUGCACUUUUUAAUGACCUGAUUUGUUUCCAAAAUUUGUUUUAGGUAAUGUAUUAGUCUGUUCUCAUGCUGCUGUAAAGAACUACCCAAGACUGGGUAAUUUAUAAAGAAAAGAGGUUUGAUUGACUCACAGUUCCACAGGCUGUACAGGAGGCAUGGCUUGGGAAGCCUCGAGAAAUUUACAAUCAUGGCGGAAGGCAAAGGGGAAGCCAGCAUGUCUCACAUGGCAGGAGCAGGAGGAAUAGAGAGCAGGAGGAGGUGCUACACAUUUCAAAAAGCCAGAUCUCAUGAGAACUCACUCACUAUCAUGAGAACAGCAAGGGGGAAGUCCGCCCCCAUGAUCCAGUCACCUCCCACCAGACCCCUCCUCCAACACUGGGAUUACAAUUUGACAUGUGAUUUGGGUGGGGACACAGGGUCAAACCAUAUCAGGUAACAAAACUCCAGUCUCAAAAAUGGUAAGUCAAUUUUAUUGCUAUUAUAAUUCUUAAAACUGGUGUUGAUGAUGAUGAUGAUAGCAGUUAUUUGUACAGUAACAUGCCCAAGACAAAUCCCAAGAGAGGAACAUAAACAAAAUCAAGUGGGGAGAUUUGACUUUGCCCAAGUUCUUCUCAACUAGAAAUUUCUAAAGGUGUUUUGUGUGGAGUGCUGCGCUAUGUGCAGUUUUCAGCUAUUCAACCUCAAGGAUGUCAAAUUGUUGGAAGAGAUUCAAAGAAGGAUAAUCAAACUUGGAUGGAGCUGACUUAAAGAAAUGGGCUAACCUCCAGAAAGAAUGCCAUUGAAUCCAGAGAGAGGUGCCGUUGAAUCAGCCCUUGCUGAUGAAGCCUCUUCACUGUACUGCUCAGACCUCUCCAUCCUGGUGGCAAGGGCUUAGACCAUUAUUCAUGGUCUGACUGGCCUCGAGGUGGCUGUCUCGCCUUUGAAAAAGGGCAGACACAGAGCAUGUUCAGAGCACGGAGCCAUACUGUGCGAUUUCUUCAAAGAGAGCUUAACCACAGAAUUUGGAUUAAUGAAUGACGUAACUGCUUCAGGGCAACACACCCUCACUGCAGCUGCUUAGCCCAGGAAGCAGCAAGGUCAAUACAAGGAGAGCCACAGGCCUGGGGAGAUGCAUGCCUUCCUUCCUGGCCACGUGGAUCUCACUACUUAGCCCAGAUGGCCUGCGAGAAGGACAAAGCCAAGCACUUCACAACACUGUCAGUUGCUGUCCUGAAGAAGGUGGCCAGGAGCUCUAGAAGGAUUCAAAGCCCCAGGGAUUUUUGGUUUUUAUGUAUACACUUCUCUUUACAUACUUGUUCCUCAACAUCCAAUCAGCCUUGCAGGUUUGUCCCCGCUCCUAGCAUUCAGAAACACUCAAGAGCAGGGUGGGUCAGAGCUCUCCACCACAUACGCAGCAGAGUGAAAGAAGCUGCCCUGCAGGACAGCUCCAGGCUCAUGGCCACCCCUCCUCACAUGCAUACCUCCUCCUCUUCCACCAAACAACAACAAACUCCUUCAUGUAGCAUUCACGCCCUCCUCUUGUGGCCUCUACCUGCCAUCCCACACCAAUCCCUUUUUAUGUCCCCACAGGUACCCAGGAGUCUCCCCUAACUAAAUUCCCCACUGCUUCUCCAAAUCACCCCAAUCCUACUUCCCACUGAAACUAACAAGAAGGGAAGGAAGGUGUUAACAAAUGAAGUCUUCGAAGGAAGUCACCCCAAGAAUCUGGGCCUACUAGUCAUUCCCUAAGGCUCAGCUCUUGGCAUUUGCUUCGUUCCCUGGGCCAUUAUUUUCAUACUGUGAAGAAAUUUCACCCUAGUCCCAUUUUGGAGAGCAAGUGUUGGUACAGUGCUGGGUAAAGACCCUGACACCAGGUCCUGGUCCCUGGCCCAGAGCAGGGGAUAUGAAGGGAAGCCCCACUCACUGUGUGCUCCCUCACUGACUCCUCAAAGGAAUUCCAGGAAGGGUGCUUUAGUGACCCUUUGGCUCACAGAGUUAGAGUGACCUGCCCAAGGCCACCCAGAGAAUGAAUGGUGGGACUGAGAUCACACCUGGGCCUGCCUGGCUGCCAAGCCUUUUGCUAUUUUCAUUAUUCCACAUUUCUUUCCAAGGAUACAGAAAGCAGGGAUAGGAAGUGCUGUGGAAACAAGCAAAAAGCCUUAUCCAUAGUCAGCAUCCAAAAAGUACUAUACCUUCUCUGACCCCUGCUUUAUUUAUUUGUUUAUUUUCAGGGAUGAUGUAAUAGCCAGAAAAAUAAGUGAACAGAAGAUUCCGGGUUCUACUUUAUGCCAAUUUUUCUUAAAUAUCUCAGUCACUAGAAAAAGAUCUAUUUGAAAAUCUUGCUCUGAGCAGUUUCUGUCUUGGGCCCAGUUGUUUGAGGAGCCUGUUGAAUUUUUAAAUUUAUUAGUGUUCCCAUGCUUCAUUCAUUGGCAUAUAUGUAUAUUCUCUAUACUUUAUAAUUACAAGUAAGCUCUUGAUAAUAAAAAGUAACUGUCAUUCUGUGAAGCUCUUUAAUGCAGCCAAAGAUAAUUUCAGGGGGCAAUUGGCAGUCUAAGUCCUUGCUUUCUCUCAUUUUAAAGGAGAACCAAAUCAACUUAGAGUGAAUUUGUUCAAAUGUGGGUAAGAUUUAACAGGCACUUCAGCUGCCCAGGGUACUUUUCCAUGUCUCUCCAACCAACCCCACCCAAAUAGCUUAGGAUUGGCAUUUUCUGAUGAGCACAGGGAUAGAGAAUGAGAACGGAGUCAGGUCCUCAGGUAUUCAAGGUUAGAAUUCCUUCUUAACCUUGCCCACUAUGCCCUAUGUGGGGACAUGCUACAGCAGAGAUCACUUGAGAAUUAUCCUGUGGCUCACACUGCCAUAAUUAGUUAUCUGUUCGGCACCUCUCAACUAAUCAGAACAAUGGCACAUCCAAAAGUAAAAGGAGAAGAAAGGAGACAAGAAUACAGCGACUGAAUAAUAAAA
Molecule: long non-coding RNA, 9184 nt
Filed under: Homo sapiens (human)
Lineage: Eukaryota; Metazoa; Chordata; Mammalia; Primates; Hominidae
Description: non-protein coding LINC01050:6
Source: RNAcentral